GACGAACGCUGGCGGCGCGCCUAACACAUGCAAGUCGAACGAGCGAGAGAGAGCUUGCUUUCUCGAGCGAGUGGCGAACGGGUGAGUAACGCGUGAGGAACCUGCCUCAAAGAGGGGGACAACAGUUGGAAACGACUGCUAAUACCGCAUAAGCCCACGGCUCGGCAUCGAGCAGUGGGAAAAGGAGCAAUCCGCUUUGAGAUGGCCUCGCGUCCGAUUAGCUAGUUGGUGGGGUAACGGCGCACCAAGGCGACGAUCGGUAGACGGACUGAGAGGUUGAACCGCCACAUUGGGACUGAGACACGGCCCAGACUCCUACGCGAGGCAGCAGUGGGGAAUAUUGCAAAAUGGGGGAAACCCUGAUGCAGCGACGCCGCGUGGAGGAAGAAGGUCGUCGGAUUGUAAACUCCUGUUGUUGGGGAAGAUAAUGACGGUACCCAACAAGGAAGUGACGGCUAACUACGUG
This 466-nucleotide ribosomal RNA is filed under the name uncultured bacterium. RNAcentral describes it as "partial 16S ribosomal RNA". It matches the Rfam family "Bacterial small subunit ribosomal RNA", at positions 28 to 507 of the family's 1533-position model. The record is from RNAcentral.